AGUAACGCGUAUCCAACCUGCCCCACCACUUGGGGAUAACCUUGCGGAAAGUAAGACUAAUACCCAAUGAUAUCUCUAGAAGACAUCUGAAAGAGAUUAAAGAUUUAUCGGUGAUGGAUGGGGAUGCGUCUGAUUAGCUUGUUGGCGGGGUAACGGCCCACCAAGGCAACGAUCAGUAGGGGUUCUGAGAGGAAGGUCCCCCACAUUGGAACUGAGACACGGUCCAAACUCCUACGGGAGGCAGCAGUGAGGAAUAUUGAUCAAUGGACGAGAGUCUGAACCAGCCAAGUAGCGUGCAGGAUGACGGCCCUAUGGGUUGUAAACUGCUUUUAUAAGGGAAUAAAGUGAGUCUCGUGAGACUUUUUGCAUGUACCUUAUGAAUAAGGACCGGCUAAUUCCGUGCCAGCAGCCGCGGUAAUACGGAAGGUCCGGGCGCUAUCCGGAUUUAUUGGGUUUAAAGGGAGCGUAGGCCGGAGAUUAAGCGUGUUGUGAAAUGUAGACGCUCAACGUCUGCACUGCAGCGCGAACUGGUUUCCUUGAGUACGCACAAAGUGGGCGGAAUUCGUGGUGUAGCGGUGAAAUGCUUAGAUAUCACGAAGAACUCCGAUUGCGAAGGCAGCUCACUGGAGCGCAACUGACGCUGAAGCUCGAAAGUGCGGGUAUCGGGACAGGAUUAGAUACCCUGGUAGUCCGCACGGUAAACGAUGGAUGCCCGCUGUUGGUCUGAAUAGGUCAGCGGCCGAGCGAAAGCAUUAAGCAUCCCACCUGGGGAGUACGCCGGCAACGGUGAAACUGAAAUGAAUUGAC
This 807-nucleotide ribosomal RNA is filed under the name uncultured bacterium. RNAcentral's name for it is "bacterial SSU rRNA". It matches the Rfam family "Bacterial small subunit ribosomal RNA", at positions 109 to 914 of the family's 1533-position model. The record is from RNAcentral.